This 114-nucleotide non-coding RNA is filed under the name Microscilla marina. Its description in RNAcentral is "SAM-I sequence". It matches the Rfam family "SAM riboswitch aptamer (S box leader)". Rfam says of the family: The SAM riboswitch is found upstream of a number of genes which code for proteins involved in methionine or cysteine biosynthesis in Gram-positive bacteria. The SAM riboswitch acts at the level of transcription termination control. The predicted structure consists of a complex stem-loop region followed by a single stem loop terminator region. RNAcentral also lists the same sequence under 1 other name. The record is from RNAcentral. Lineage: Bacteria; Pseudomonadati; Bacteroidota; Cytophagia; Cytophagales; Microscillaceae.
GAUUUAUUGAGAAGAGGUGAGAGAACAGGCUCCUAGACCCUCUGGCAACCAUCAUCAACUAUUGAGAACGGUGCCAAGUCCUGCCCCAAGUAUAAUGAAUGGGAAAAAUAAAUU